GAUUUCCCAUAGCGUCAAGCUAGUAAGAACCCUGAAAGAUGAUCAGGUUGAUAGGUCAGAGGUGGAAGCGUGGUAACAUGUGGAGCUGACUGAUACUAAUCGUUCGAGGACUUAACCAAUUU
RNAcentral lists this ribosomal RNA (122 nucleotides) under Rhodococcus qingshengii. RNAcentral's name for it is "partial 23S ribosomal RNA". It matches the Rfam family "Bacterial large subunit ribosomal RNA", at positions 2808 to 2925 of the family's 2925-position model. Lineage: Bacteria; Bacillati; Actinomycetota; Actinomycetes; Mycobacteriales; Nocardiaceae. The record is from RNAcentral.